Molecule: non-coding RNA, 21 nt
Filed under: Arabidopsis thaliana (thale cress)
Lineage: Eukaryota; Viridiplantae; Streptophyta; Magnoliopsida; Brassicales; Brassicaceae
Source: RNAcentral
UUGGUGUGCCACGAGAACGUU